AACGAACGCCUUGGCGGCGUGGAUAAGACAUGCAAGUCGAACGAGAGAAUUGCUAGCUUGCUAAUAAUUCUCUAGUGGCGCACGGGUGAGUAACACGUGAGUAACCUGCCCCCGAGAGCGGGAUAGCCCUGGGAAACUGGGAUUAAUACCGCAUAGUAUCGAAAGAUUAAAGCAGCAAUGCGCUUGGGGAUGGGCUCGCGGCCUAUUAGUUAGUUGGUGAGGUAACGGCUCACCAAGGCGAUGACGGGUAGCCGGUCUGAGAGGAUGUCCGGCCACACUGGAACUGAGACACGGUCCAGACACCUACGGGUGGCAGCAGUCGAGAAUCAUUCACAAUGGGGGAAACCCUGAUGGUGUGACGCCGCGUGGGGGAAUGAAGGUCUUCGGAUUGUAAACCCCUGUCAUGUGGGAGCAAAUUAAAAAGAUAGUACCACAAGAGGAAGAGACGGCUAACUCUGUGCCAGCAGCCGCGGUAAUACAGAGGUCUCAAGCGUUGUUCGGAAUCACUGGGCGUAAAGCGUGCGUAGGCUGUUUCGUAAGUCGUGUGUGAAAGGCGCGGGCUCAACCCGCGGACGGCACAUGAUACUGCGAGACUAGAGUAAUGGAGGGGGAACCGGAAUUCUCGGUGUAGCAGUGAAAUGCGUAGAUAUCGAGAGGAACACUCGUGGCGAAGGCGGGUUCCUGGACAUUAACUGACGCUGAGGCACGAAGGCCAGGGGAGCGAAAGGGAUUAGAUACCCCUGUAGUCCUGGCAGUAAACGGUGCACGCUUGGUGUGCGGGGAAUCGACCCCCUGCGUGCCGGAGCUAACGCGUUAAGCGUGCCGCCUGGGGAGUACGGUCGCAAGAUUAAAACUCAAAGAAAUUGACGGGGACCCGCACAAGCGGUGGAGUAUGUGGCUUAAUUCGAUGCAACGCGAAGAACCUUACCUGGGCUUGACAUGUAAUGAACAACAUGUGAAAGCAUGCGACUCUUCGGAGGCGUUACACAGGUGCUGCAUGGCCGUCGUCAGCUCGUGUCGUGAGAUGUUUGGUUAAGUCCAGCAACGAGCGCAACCCCUGUUGCCAGUUACCAGCACGUGAAGGUGGGGACUCUGGCGAGACUGCCCAGAUCAAUUGGGAGGAAGGUGGGGACGACGUCAGGUCAGUAUGGCCCUUAUGCCCAGGGCUGCACACGUACUACAAUGCCCAGUACAGAGGGGGCCGAAGCCGCGAGGCGGAGGAAAUCCUGAAAACUGGGCCCAGUUCGGACUGUAGGCUGCAACCCGCCUACACGAAGCCGGAAUCGCUAGUAAUGGCGCAUCAGCUACGGCGCCGUGAAUACGUUCCCGGGUCU
Molecule: ribosomal RNA, 1334 nt
Filed under: uncultured bacterium
Lineage: Bacteria
Description: bacterial SSU rRNA
Rfam family: Bacterial small subunit ribosomal RNA
Source: RNAcentral